RNAcentral lists this ribosomal RNA (479 nucleotides) under uncultured bacterium. RNAcentral's name for it is "partial 16S ribosomal RNA". It matches the Rfam family "Bacterial small subunit ribosomal RNA", at positions 28 to 507 of the family's 1533-position model. The record is from RNAcentral.
GACGAACGCUGGCGGCGUGCCUAACACAUGCAAGUGGAGCGACGAACCGGGGCUUGCCGCGGCGCGGGGCCGCAAACGGGGGGGUAACGCGUUGGUGACCGGCCCCGCUGACUGGGACAGCCCGUCGAAAGAGGGGCUAAUACCGGAUGUGCGACUUGGGGGAAAGGAAGCGUCGGCCUCCGCAUCGGGUUGUUCCCGCGGCGAAAUAGCUUGUUGGCGGGGUAAUGGCGUAGCACGGCGACGAUGCGUAGCCAGUCUGAGAGGAAGAUCCGCCACACUGGGAGUGAGACACGGCACAGACUCUUACGGGAGGCAGCAGCGGGGAAUCUUGCACAAUGCGGGAAUGCGGGAUGCAGGACCGUGGGGUGAGGGAAGAAGGAGCUAUGGUUGUAAAGUGAUUUAAGUUGUGACGAGGUUUAGCUCGUUAAUAGCGGUUUGUAGUGACGGUACCGGCAGAAUAAGCGCCGGCUAACUACGUG